This 47-nucleotide transfer RNA is filed under the name Bos primigenius (aurochs). RNAcentral's name for it is "partial tRNA-Thr". The record is from RNAcentral. Lineage: Eukaryota; Metazoa; Chordata; Mammalia; Artiodactyla; Bovidae.
UAUACUGGUCUUGUAAACCAGAGAAGGAGAACAACUAACCUCCCUAA